Molecule: ribosomal RNA, 200 nt
Filed under: uncultured bacterium
Lineage: Bacteria
Description: partial 16S ribosomal RNA
Rfam family: Bacterial small subunit ribosomal RNA
Source: RNAcentral
GACGAACGCUGGCGGCGUGCUUAACACAUGCAAGUCGAACGAUGAAGCCCUUCGGGGUGGAUUAGUGGCGAACGGGUGAGUAACACGUGGGCAAUCUGCCCUUCACUCUGGGACAAGCCCUGGAAACGGGGUCUAAUACCGGAUAGCACUUCCACUCGCAUGGGUGGGGGUUGAAAGCUCCGGCGGUGAAGGAUGAGCCC